UUUGAACUUGAACAAGGUUCCAUUGGAAUGAGAGUUCACCGUUAGAAGCGAUGCGUGAGCUGGGUUAAGAACGUCUUGAGGCAGUUUGUUCCCUAUCUACCGUUAUA
Molecule: ribosomal RNA, 107 nt
Filed under: Plasmodium sp.
Lineage: Eukaryota; Apicomplexa; Aconoidasida; Haemosporida; Plasmodiidae
Description: large subunit ribosomal RNA
Source: RNAcentral